This 497-nucleotide ribosomal RNA is filed under the name uncultured bacterium. RNAcentral's name for it is "partial 16S ribosomal RNA". It matches the Rfam family "Bacterial small subunit ribosomal RNA", at positions 28 to 507 of the family's 1533-position model. The record is from RNAcentral.
GAUGAACGCUGGCGGCGUGCCUAAUACAUGCAAGUCGAGCGAACAGAUGAGGAGCUUGCUCCUCUGACGUUAGCGGCGGACGGGUGAGUAACACGUGGAUAACCUACCUAUAAGACUGGGAUAACUUCGGGAAACCGGAGCUAAUACCGGAUAAUAUAUUGAACCGCAUGGUUCAAUAGUGAAAGCCGGUUUUGCUGUCACUUAUAGAUGGAUCCGCGCCGCAUUAGCUAGUUGGUAAGGUAACGGCUUACCAAGGCAACGAUGCGUAGCCGACCUGAGAGGGUGAUCAGCCACACUGGAACUGAGACACGGUCCAGACUCCUACGGGAGGCAGCAGUAGGGAAUCUUCCGCAAUGGGCGAAAGCCUGACGGAGCAACGCCGCGUGAGUGAUGAAGGUCUUCGGAUCGUAAAACUCUGUUAUUAGGGAAGAACAAAUGUGUAAGUAACUAUGCACGUCUUGACGGUACCUAAUCAGAAAGCCACGGCUAACUACGUG